GGCCUACCAUGGUGGUAACGGGUAACGGGGUGUUAGGGCACGACACCGGAGAGGGAGCCUGAGAAACGGCUACCACAUCCAAGGAUGGCAGCAGGCGCGCAAAUUACCCAAUCCCGACACGGGGAGGUAGUGACAAUAAAUAACAAUACGGGGUCCUUUCGGAUCUCGUAAUUGGAAUGAGUACAAUUUAAAUCUCUUAACGAGGAACAAUUGGAGGGCAAGUCUGGUGCCAGCAGCCGCGGUAAUUCCAGCUCCAAUAGCGUAUAUUAAAGUUGUUGCAGUUAAAAAGCUCGUAGUUGAAUUUCGGGAUCAGAUUGUCGGUCGUGCCUCGGUACGCACUGGCAUUAUUGGUUCCUACCUUCUGAAGAACCGCGAUGUCAUUAAUUUGGUGUCGUGGGGAAUCAGGACUGUUACUUUGAAAAAAUUAGAGUGUUUAAAGCAGGCGCACGCUUGAAUACAUUAGCAUGGAAUAAUGAAAUAGGACGUUUGAUUCUAUUUUGUUGGUUUCUAGGAUCGACGUAAUGAUUAAUAGGGAUAGUUGGGGGCAUUAGUAUUCAAUUGUCAGAGGUGAAAUUCUUGGAUUUAUUGAAGACUAACUACUGCGAAAGCAUUUGCCAAGGAUGUUUUCAUUAAUCAAGAACGAAAGUUAGGGGAUCGAAGACGAUCAGAUACCGUCGUAGUCUUAACCAUAAACUAUGCCGACUAGGGAUCGGAUGAUGUUAAUUUUUUAAUGACUCAUUCGGCGCCUUACGGGAAACCAAAGUGUUUGGGUUCA
RNAcentral lists this ribosomal RNA (775 nucleotides) under uncultured Glomus. RNAcentral's name for it is "SSU rRNA". It matches the Rfam family "Eukaryotic small subunit ribosomal RNA", at positions 338 to 1115 of the family's 1831-position model. Lineage: Eukaryota; Fungi; Glomeromycota; Glomeromycetes; Glomerales; Glomeraceae. The record is from RNAcentral.